This 820-nucleotide long non-coding RNA is filed under the name Olea europaea (common olive). RNAcentral describes it as "long non-coding RNA (OEUR_LNC014257)". Lineage: Eukaryota; Viridiplantae; Streptophyta; Magnoliopsida; Lamiales; Oleaceae. The record is from RNAcentral.
AAGGUGACCCAAUUCUUGCAUAACCUUAGGAAUAUGAAUCAUGUUCUGGGCUCUGCUUAUUUUGAGUGUACUAAUACUUCCUUUCGUAGAAAUUGACCUGUUGUGAUAAUUGUAGUCUUGUUAAUUUGAAUAGUACUGGUUAAGAAAGACUGAAACUUCUAUCCACGAUAGUGUAAGAGAAAUUCUCUAAAAGUUCUUUUAGAAUUUUGUUGCGAAGUAAUAAUUUUAGCUCCAGGGAAGAAAUAAAAGGUGGAUUAUGUUGGGUACGACGUGCUUGACCAGAAUAGACGAUGCAAUAUUAUUUUGAGUGUACUAAUACUUCCUUUCGUAGAAAUUGACCUGUUGUGAUAAUUGUAGUCUUGUUAAUUUGAAUAGUACUGGUUAAGAAAGACUGAAACUUCUAUCCACGAUAGUGUAAGAGAAAUUCUCUAAAAGUUCUUUUAGAAUUUUGUUGCGAAGUAAUAAUUUUAGCUCCAGGGAAGAAAUAAAAGGUGGAUUAUGUUGGGUACGACGUGCUUGACCAGAAUAGACGAUGCAAUAAACUAGAUUUUAGUUUCGUUUGAGUACUACCCAAUCCACAAUAACAUUGCUAAAAUGUUAACCACAACAACAGAUGAAGCCCUAUUUCCAAUAAAUUUUGAACUUGAUUACAUUCUUCUUCCUCAUUUCUGGCAUAAAUUUAGCUCACACUGCACAUUAUUAUAUUCAAUCUUUAGAGUAAAAAUUCAAUCUGUCACUAGGUAAAGCAAGUGUACGCAAGUGCUUUAAGCUGUGUUUAUAUCAUUAUUUUAUGUUGCCACGUUUAAUUUUUUGUAGGGAG